Polyodon spathula (Mississippi paddlefish) is the source of this 570-nucleotide long non-coding RNA. RefSeq lists it as uncharacterized. The transcript has 3 exons. The record is from RefSeq and is a predicted model, not a curated record. NCBI's taxonomy places the organism in Eukaryota, Metazoa, Chordata, Actinopteri, Acipenseriformes, Polyodontidae.
GCCAUUUUGAACUACCCAGAACUCUGCUGAACAUCUUUGAAGGCUUUUUAGCUGGAACAAGGAGAAAAAGACUUUCACAGUGCCGCAAGAAAACUGAAAGACUACUACUGGAGACAUCUCGCUGAGGAAGGACAAUGCAACAACAAAGACAAAUUUUUUUCUUCAGUUCCUUGAAUGAACUUUCUUCAACACAACCAAGGCCAGAUCACAGAACCGAUCAAGGGACGCUUGCACAACCGCCCAAUUUAUAAAGAAAGAGUACAGAGCCAGGGAGCUGCGGCCAGCGAGCUACCACCAAAAACCCCAGCACCAACUUCACGGGAAUGCACAACACUGCGGCAAGCACUGGAAAAGGGCCUGAGCACAUCUCUGUGUGUGGACGUGGAUUGCUAAUUAUUGUGUAUAUUAAUAAUUGAAGACUUCAAUCUCACUGUUUACACCCCCCCACCCCCCCCCCCGAGCAUUGUUGGUAAAGAGGCGGAUUGUUUUAGUAUGUUUACAGAAUAGAAGUGAUCGUUUUGCACUGGGACAUUUGGUCUGGAUAUUAUAUUAUUCACCCGCACCACUCAC